CUAUUUGUGGGUUAGACUUGGACUUCGGCCACAUUUAAUAGCCCCUCCUGGAUCACUCCCCCCUUAGACAAGGUCAGCCUGAGCCUGCUUUGGGCAUACCCUGGGGAAGAUAUGGAUUCCUGCAAUGUUUUGGACUGUGAGUACAUCAGGAUGAAGAGUCUGUGUUGGUGUUUGUGGUGUACAGGCUUCUGAUUCAGGUAUUCCUGCUGUGUUACACAAUAGCUGUCUCAUGCAGCAAGCACUAGAGAACUACAGGUAAGAAG
Molecule: long non-coding RNA, 263 nt
Filed under: Gallus gallus (chicken)
Lineage: Eukaryota; Metazoa; Chordata; Aves; Galliformes; Phasianidae
Description: long non-coding RNA NONGGAT004577
Source: RNAcentral